UACGUAGGGGGCGAGCGUUGUCCGAAGUUACUGGGCGUAAAGCGCGCGUAGGCGGUCCUUUAAGUCCGGGGUGAAAGGUUCAGCGCUCAACGUGAACAGUGCCCUGGAGACUGGGGGACUUGAGUGUGGGAGGGGGCAGUGGAAUUCCUGGUGUAGCGGUGAAAUGCGUAGAUAUCAGGAGGAACACCGAUGGCGAAGGCAGCUGCCCGGCCUGACACUGACGCUGAGGUGCGAAAGCGUGGGGAGCGAACAGG
Molecule: ribosomal RNA, 254 nt
Filed under: uncultured bacterium
Lineage: Bacteria
Description: partial 16S ribosomal RNA
Rfam family: Bacterial small subunit ribosomal RNA
Source: RNAcentral